Molecule: long non-coding RNA, 417 nt
Filed under: Salvator merianae (Argentine black and white tegu)
Lineage: Eukaryota; Metazoa; Chordata; Lepidosauria; Squamata; Teiidae
Description: lncRNA (ENSSMRG00000020994.1)
Source: RNAcentral
CUGCAAUUGAAAGUAAGUGUGCCUCAUAUUUUAAGUUCCUCUCUUUAUCCCCCAUUCUGCAUUUUUCUUAGUGCAAGUGAAGAACCUGGGAGCCCUCAGCUGCAAAGACUUAAACAGCUGCACCUGCUGGAGCAGAAACCUAAGAAGAAACGACAGGAGGCUACACUGGAAGCCAAGCCAAAAAAGUCCAAAGUGAAAAAGCAGGAGGAAUCAAGUCCUGCAGAGGAGACCAGUGCUGCCCGUCAAGCUGGUGUCAAGAAACUGCGAAAGAAGAAAGAAGAGAAACCGGAAGAAGAGAAUGAAAAGGGUCAAAAUGCUAAAUUAAUUAAGGAGCCCAGGAAAAAAAAGGAAACACCUUCUUCUCAUUUCAGUGUGGCCAGAACACCAAAAAAGAAACAAGGUAGUGUUUUGUCUUGC